Molecule: ribosomal RNA, 325 nt
Filed under: Enterococcus faecium
Lineage: Bacteria; Bacillati; Bacillota; Bacilli; Lactobacillales; Enterococcaceae
Description: bacterial SSU rRNA
Rfam family: Bacterial small subunit ribosomal RNA
Source: RNAcentral
CCAUCAUUCAGUUGGGCACUCUAGCAAGACUGCCGGUGACAAACCGGAGGAAGGUGGGGAUGACGUCAAAUCAUCAUGCCCCUUAUGACCUGGGCUACACACGUGCUACAAUGGGAAGUACAACGAGUUGCGAAGUCGCGAGGCUAAGCUAAUCUCUUAAAGCUUCUCUCAGUUCGGAUUGCAGGCUGCAACUCGCCUGCAUGAAGCCGGAAUCGCUAGUAAUCGCGGAUCAGCACGCCGCGGUGAAUACGUUCCCGGGCCUUGUACACACCGCCCGUCACACCACGAGAGUUUGUAACACCCGAAGUCGGUGAGGUAACCUUUU